Molecule: long non-coding RNA, 429 nt
Filed under: Fukomys damarensis (Damara mole-rat)
Lineage: Eukaryota; Metazoa; Chordata; Mammalia; Rodentia; Bathyergidae
Description: lncRNA (ENSFDAG00000025266.1)
Source: RNAcentral
CUUGGAGAAAGGAAAAGAGCUUAGGGGUCUUGAAGAGAACAGGAGGAAGUGGUGUGGCUUCCCAAGGUUUUUGAUGGGUGUUGGCAGGGCAUGUUGGCUUUGUCCAUGAGACCCAGGGAAGUCCCAGGGCUUCUGUCCAGGCAAAGCAUAGACCAUGGUGCUCUGCAGCUAUCUUGGUCUGAAUGUCAUGGCUCUUAUCCUGAAAAUAUGUCCGACCUAUACACGUAGUACCAGAGCCACAUGGCUGAUCUGUGCCUAGCACCAAGGAGGCUUUGGACCACGAGGGUGUGGUGGUUGCUAUGCAAGACCACUGAUUCUCCACAGUUGCCAUGGAAGCUUUCUCAGUCCUGUACAACCCAAAAGAAGGAGAAGGACCAUUAUGAGCCUCAGGGGAAGAAAGAAUUAGAUCAGGGUGAACGUGGGAAUUGA